UUGUUAGUCCAGUCCUUCAGAGAGGUUCGUUUUGGCUCUCUGUCAUCACCGGGACGCUGGCAGUGAAUGUGUGUCAUGGUUACAAUAGACUAGAGUGUGGUAACAUAGACCAACCAUGAAAGCCCAGCGGGAAAGGCUACAGAUUCCGGGGCUGACCUUGGAUCUCACUCCAAGAAGCCUGAGCCCAACCCCGUCGAGCCCGGGCAGUCCUUGCAGUCCGCUCUUCGCUUUUCACUUUUGCAGUUGCCGCACAAGCAACCGGAAAAGUUUGAUCGGCAAUGGGCAGUCACCGGCCUUGCCCCGGCCGCACUCACCUCUCUCUGCUCACGCAGGUAA
Molecule: long non-coding RNA, 336 nt
Organism: Echinops telfairi (small Madagascar hedgehog)
Lineage: Eukaryota; Metazoa; Chordata; Mammalia; Afrosoricida; Tenrecidae
Exons: 3
Source: RefSeq, a predicted model, not a curated record